Molecule: small nucleolar RNA, 135 nt
Organism: Arvicola amphibius (Eurasian water vole)
Lineage: Eukaryota; Metazoa; Chordata; Mammalia; Rodentia; Cricetidae
Product: small nucleolar RNA U109
Exons: 1
Source: RefSeq, a predicted model, not a curated record
CUGCUUGUAACAAUACCUGUUCCUCAUCCCGUUAAGAACAGCGUUACAUCUGCAACAUGCUGUAUUUAAAAAGAAAGUACUAAGGCUGCUAACCUUAGAACAGAGGUUAUCUAGAAGUAUAUGUCUCUUAAAAAG